GACGAACGCUGGCGGCGUGCUUAACACAUGCAAGUCGAGCGGUAAGGCCCUUUCGGGGGUACACGAGCGGCGAACGGGUGAGUAACACGUGGGUGACCUGCCCUUAGCUCUGGGAUAAGCCUGGGAAACUGGGUCUAAUACCGGAUAUGACUCCAUGACGCAUGUUGUGGGGUGGAAAGCCUUGUGCGGCUAGGGAUGGGCCUGCGGCCUAUCAGCUUGUUGGUGGGGUGANGGCCUACCAAGGCGACGACGGGUAGCCGGCCUGAGAGGGCGACCGGCCACACUGGGACUGAGACACGGCCCAGACUCCUACGGGAGGCAGCAGUGGGGAAUCUUGCGCAAUGGGCGAAAGCCUGACGCAGCGACGCCGCGUGGGGAUGACGGCCU
RNAcentral lists this ribosomal RNA (387 nucleotides) under uncultured bacterium. RNAcentral describes it as "bacterial SSU rRNA". It matches the Rfam family "Bacterial small subunit ribosomal RNA", at positions 28 to 417 of the family's 1533-position model. The record is from RNAcentral.